GACGAACGCUGGCGGCGUGCUUAACACAUGCAAGUCGAACGGAAAGGCCCUGCUUUUGUGGGGUGCUCGAGUGGCGAACGGGUGAGUAACACGUGAGUAACCUGCUCUUGACUUUGGGAUAACUUCAGGAAACUGGGGCUACUACCGGAUAGGAGCUCAUGCUGCAUGGUGGGGGUUGGAAAGUUUCGGCGGUUGGGGAUGGACUCGCGGCUUACGAGCUUGUUGGUGGGGUAGUGGCUUACCAAGGCUUGGACGGGUAGCCGGCCUGAGAGGGUGACCGGCCACAUUGGGACUAAGGUACGGCCCAGACUCCUACGGGAGGCAGCGGUGGGGAGUAUUACACAAUGGGCGGAAGCCUGAUGCAGCGACGCCGCGUGCGGGAUGACGGCCUUCUGGUUGUAAACCGCUUUCGCCUGUGACGAAGCGUGAGUGACGGUAAUGGGUAAAGAAGCACCGGCUAACUACGUG
RNAcentral lists this ribosomal RNA (468 nucleotides) under uncultured bacterium. RNAcentral describes it as "partial 16S ribosomal RNA". It matches the Rfam family "Bacterial small subunit ribosomal RNA", at positions 28 to 507 of the family's 1533-position model. The record is from RNAcentral.